GUUACCUUGCAGGGCCCUGAAACCGAAGAAGAACAAGAUAUUUUUCACCUGUUGGAAGAACUUGAAAAUGCUGCUCUCCAGCCUUCUGGAGGUGGUCUUGGCUGCAAUAUGGCUAGGAUCCAGUAUUGCCCAGAAGGUAACUCAAGACCAACCAGCAAUGUCAGUGCAGGAGAAAGAGGCUGUGACCCUGGACUGCUCAUAUGAAACCAGUGCUGCAACUUACAGCCUUUUCUGGUACAAACAGCAAAGCAAUGGGGCAAUGAUUUUUCUUAUUCGUCAGGACUCCUAUAACCAGAAAAAUGCCACAGAAGGUCGCUACUCACUGAUGUUUCAGAAAGGAAGCCAUUCUAUCAACCUUGUCAUCUCACCUUCACAGCUGGAGGACUCUGCAGUGUAUUUCUGUGCCCUGGAUGAGCCCACAGUGAGAGGUGUGUAGGAAGGAGGUGAACCAAAACCCCAGAACUCUGCUUGAUGCAUCCACCUGCUGUAGGGACCAAGGCCAGGAAUUGUCAGGACAGUCAGGAAGUGGCCAGGGCUGUGGUAGCACAGAUGUAGGAUGAUUGAGGGAAAGCACUCUAUGAAAAUACCUCUCUAGGUCCUUAGAUCAUGUGUACAAUUGUUGUUAAUCAAAAAAUCUAUAUGUUUGGAAAUUUAGGUUCAAAUUAUUUAUUAAAGACCAAGAACAACCAAAAGAAACAAUUUGCUGUUUGGUGAGACACUGAGCUAGGAGAAUUAACCAAGGAAAUUCAGAAACAUCUGAAUCUAAAGAUAGGAAAAGCCUGUGGUAUUAUAAGGUUUUCAGAUCAAUUUGUUCAAUAAAUAUUUAUUGAGUAUAUUUUAUGACACAGGCACUGUUGGAAGAGGAAGGCUGUGAAAUCUUUCUGUGGCUUUACUGUUUUUGUAUGUUAUGCUCUUUUAUACUGUUUAAUGAGUUAGUUUAAUUUGGAUUUGUUAGCUGAGUUAAGGUACCCUCCUUGAAUUUCUAAGGUGCCUACAAUAUGACAAACUUUGUGUUUUUACCAUCUUACUAACACACUAGCAUGGAAGAGACUAUUUCCUUUAUGUAGAUUUACCUGCAGUAAAUCCCACCAGUCUCACCCAUAAAUGAGCAAUAAUUGGUGGCUCUAGGGGGACAUUGUGAAGAAGCAAAGUGUGAACUAUCUUUUUGUACAAUUGCUCUUCAAUUCACUACUCUUCUAGAAGCAUUUUUUUGCCAUUCUGUGGCUCAUUUCACAGUGCCAUGCCCUCUUUUUUCUCUUUUUUCAAUGUUCCACAAUCUAAAACCCUUAUUUUCUAAUAUUUCCUCCACUUACCUGGAACCUCAUUGUCUCAGUGCCUUAAAAUUUGAAUGAUCAUGGAUGUUUAAUAAAUGAUCUUAUAUUGUAAACUCCAUCUUAUAAUUGAGUUGGGAAACCAGAUGUGCAUAGUAAAAAUAUGAAAAGGAGUCUUUUAACAUUUUUAAUAUUCUUAUACUUUUACCAUUUUAUCAUAAAUUUUUACCAUGUUAGGUGUACAACUGAGUGAUAUUAAGGACAUUUACACCUAAUGAACUCUGAUGACCUUAAAGAACUGAAAAGUUGUGCUCUGUUAACAAUAACAUUCCCUUCGCCCACCCCUCUAGCCUCUGGAAAAUACCAUUUGAGUUCUCAUUCUAGGAGUUUGACUGUUUUAGAUACCUCAUAAAGUGGGAUGCAGCAAUAUUGGUCACAUGGUAACUUAUUUCAGCUAGUGUAGUAUCCUGCUGGUUCACCCAUGUUGUAGCCUUUGUCAGAAUUUCUUUCUUUUUAAAUUAAAUAAUAUUCCAGUGUAUGUAUACACUGCAGUUUGUUUAUCCAUUGAUCUGCUGAUGGGCAUUUGUGUUGCUUCCACAUUUUCCUGGAAAAAUGUAUGUAAAUAUUUCAAUAUUUUGGAUGUACGAUGUGUCUGGAAAAAGGCCAGCCAGUGUUAAUAUACUGAAGGUGGUUUGUGUGACAUUGAUAUAAUCUGGCAACUAAGGAGAGUGGACUGGCAUGAGCAUGUGUGAACAAUGAUGACUUUACUGUACUAGUCAGUGUGUGUGUGGGGUAGAUGCUGUUGAGUGAGCAUGUGUACUGUGUGGCUGUCACAUUCAAAAUGAUUGAGCACAAUAAAUCUGCACCAUAUUUUGCCUUGAUCUUAAACAUUUUCCCAUGGAAACUAUUUGGGUGGUUCAGAAGGGCACAGCUCUGGGGAACUGGUGAUUGGCAGCUUCAUCACAACCAUGUGCCACCUCAUGCAUCACAUCUGGUGCAGAGUUUUUAUGUGAGACAUUAAA
This is a non-coding RNA of Phyllostomus hastatus (greater spear-nosed bat), 2293 nucleotides long. NCBI's taxonomy places the organism in Eukaryota, Metazoa, Chordata, Mammalia, Chiroptera, Phyllostomidae. The record is from the annotation of a RefSeq genome assembly.